Long non-coding RNA from Etheostoma spectabile (orangethroat darter), 101 nucleotides. RefSeq lists it as uncharacterized. The transcript has 3 exons. The record is from RefSeq and is a predicted model, not a curated record. NCBI's taxonomy places the organism in Eukaryota, Metazoa, Chordata, Actinopteri, Perciformes, Percidae.
AGUUUGCAACUGGUUCAUUAUGGGAACAUGAUUUCAUUUAUAAAUGGUUGUUUCAUUAUCUAUUAAUUAUAAAUCAUGUACCUGAAAACAUUUUUCAUGAU